This 514-nucleotide ribosomal RNA is filed under the name uncultured Chlorobiaceae bacterium. RNAcentral describes it as "bacterial SSU rRNA". It matches the Rfam family "Bacterial small subunit ribosomal RNA", at positions 342 to 860 of the family's 1533-position model. Lineage: Bacteria; Pseudomonadati; Chlorobiota; Chlorobiia; Chlorobiales; Chlorobiaceae. The record is from RNAcentral.
CGGGAGGCAGCAGUGAGGAAUAUUGCGCAAUGGGCGAAAGCCUGACGCAGCAACGCCGCGUGGAUGAUGAAGUUCUUCGGAAUGUAAAGUCCUUUGGUAGAGGAAGAAUAUCCCGGUUUACCGGGACUGACGCUACUAUAAGAAUAAGCCACGGCUAACUCUGUACCAGCAGCCGUGAUGAUACAGGGGUGGCAAGUGUUGUCCGGAUUUACUGGGAGUAAAGGGUGCGCAGGCGGGCCGAUAAGUCGGGGAUUAAAUCCAUGUGCUUAACACAUGCAUGGCUUCCGAUACUGUCGGCCUAGAGUCUAGAAGAGGAAGAUGGAAUUUCCGGUGUAGCGGUGGAAUGUGUUGAUAUGGGAAAGAACACCAGUGGCGAAGGCAGUCUUCUGGUAGAGCACUGACGAUCCGGCACGAAAGGGUGGGGAGCCAACAGGAUUAGAUACCCUGGUAGUCCACGCCGUAAACGAUGAAUAGUAGAUGUUGAUCAUCUUGAUCAGUGUCGCAGCUAACGCGU